Molecule: unclassified non-coding RNA, 432 nt
Filed under: soil metagenome
Description: partial contains 5.8S ribosomal RNA, internal transcribed spacer 2, and large subunit ribosomal RNA
Rfam family: 5.8S ribosomal RNA (bases 1-120)
Source: RNAcentral
GAUGAAGAACGUAGUUAAAUGCGAUACGUAAUGUGAAUUGCAGAAUUCAGUGAAUCAUCGAAUCUUUGAACGCAUAUUGCGCUCUCUGGUAUUCCGGAGAGCAUGCUUGUUUGAGUAUCAGUAAACACCUCAACUUCCAUAUCUUUUUUGAAAUGGGAGUUGGACUUGAGUGAUCCCAACGCUUUUCCUCACCGAAAAGUGGCGGGUUACUUGAAAUGCAGGUGCAGCUGGACUUUUCUCUGAGCUAUAAGCAUAUCUAUUUAGUCUGCCUAAAAAACAGAUUAUUACCUUUGCUGCAGCUAACAUAAAGGAGAUUAGUUCUUGUGCUGACUGAUGCAGGAUUCACAAAGACAGCUUCGGCCGACUUUGUAAACUCGAUCUCAAAUCAAGUAAGACUACCCGCUGAACUUAAGCAUAUCAAUAAGCGGAGGA